GCGGCUGUAGCUCAGUGGAUAGAGCACCAGCCUCCGGAGCUGGGGGUCGCAGGUUCGAAUCCUGCCAGCCGCGCCA
RNAcentral lists this transfer RNA (76 nucleotides) under Acidobacteriota bacterium. Its description in RNAcentral is "Acidobacteria bacterium tRNA-Arg". It matches the Rfam family "tRNA". From Rfam's summary of the family: Transfer RNA (tRNA) molecules are approximately 80 nucleotides in length. Lineage: Bacteria; Pseudomonadati; Acidobacteriota. The record is from RNAcentral. RNAcentral also lists the same sequence under 1 other name.